RNAcentral lists this ribosomal RNA (448 nucleotides) under uncultured bacterium. RNAcentral's name for it is "partial 16S ribosomal RNA". It matches the Rfam family "Bacterial small subunit ribosomal RNA", at positions 29 to 523 of the family's 1533-position model. The record is from RNAcentral.
AGCGAACGCUGGCGGCAGGCCUAACACAUGCAAGUCGAACGAACUCUUCGGAGUUAGUGGCGGACGGGUGAGUAACACGUGGGAACGUGCCUUUAGGUUCGGAAUAACUCAGGGAAACUUGUGCUAAUACCGAAUGUGCCCUUCGGGGGAAAGAUUUAUCGCCUUAGAGCGGCCCGCGUCUGAUUAGCUAGUUGGUGAGGUAAAGGCUCACCAAGGCGACGAUCAGUAGCUGGUCUGAGAGGAUGAUCAGCCACAUUGGGACUGAGACACGGCCCAAACUCCUACGGGAGGCAGCAGUGGGGAAUCUUGCGCAAUGGGCGAAAGCCUGACGCAGCCAUGCCGCGUGAAUGAUGAAGGUCUUAGGAUUGUAAAAUUCUUUCACCGGGGACGAUAAUGACGGUACCCGGAGAAGAAGCCCCGGCUAACUUCGUGCCAGCAGCCGCAGUAA